RNAcentral lists this unclassified non-coding RNA (189 nucleotides) under rhizosphere metagenome. RNAcentral describes it as "partial ribosomal RNA internal transcribed spacer region". The record is from RNAcentral.
GUUGGUGAACCAGCGGAGGGAUCAUUACCGAGUUUCCAACUCAUAACCCACUGUGAACAUACCCAAGUUGCUUCGGCCUCUGUCUCUCGCGGGACAGUGGUCGGGGACCCCCAAAACCCAGUUAUUUCUAAUUCCUCUGAGUAACCAAAAAAUAAAUCAAAACCUUUAACAACGGAUCUCUUGGCUCUG